RNAcentral lists this ribosomal RNA (236 nucleotides) under uncultured bacterium. Its description in RNAcentral is "partial 16S ribosomal RNA". It matches the Rfam family "Bacterial small subunit ribosomal RNA", at positions 122 to 353 of the family's 1533-position model. The record is from RNAcentral.
UAGCCUGCCUUAUAGUGGGGGAGUAGCCUUUCGAAAGGAAGAUUAAUACCGCAUAAGAUUGUAGUAUCGCAUGAUAUAGCAAUUAAAGGAGCAAUUCGCUAUAAGAUGGACCCGCGUCGCAUUAGCUAGUUGGUGAGGUAAUGGCUCACCAAGGCGACGAUGCGUAGCCGACCUGAGAGGGUGAUCGGCCACAUUGGGACUGAGACACGGCCCAGACUCCUACGGGAGGCAGCAUG